RNAcentral lists this ribosomal RNA (1561 nucleotides) under metagenome. RNAcentral's name for it is "SSU rRNA". It matches the Rfam family "Eukaryotic small subunit ribosomal RNA", at positions 1 to 1509 of the family's 1831-position model. The record is from RNAcentral.
UCUGGUUGAUCCUGCCAGUAGUCAUACGCUUGUCUCAAAGAUUAAGCCAUGCAUGUCUAAGUAUAAAGGUUACAUACAAUGAAACUGCGAAUGGCUCAUUCAAACAGUUAUAGUUUAUUUGGAUUUACACAUUAGUUAAAUGGAUAACCGUAGUAAUUCUAGGGCUAAUACAUGCGUUACGGGGGACUUUACGGAACCCCAGUAUUUAUUAGAUUCAAACCAAUAUUCCGAAGGUCUACUUGAGAUGAUUCAUGAUAACUGAUCGAAUUGCUGGUCUACCGGCAAUAAGUCAUUCAUGUUUCUGCUUCCCAUCAGCUUGAUGGUAGUGUAUUGGACAACCAUGGCAUUCACGGGCUAUCGGGGGAUUAGGGUUCGAUUCCGGAGAGGGAGCCUGAGAAACGGCUACCACUUCUACGGAAGGCAGCAGGCGCGAAAAUUAUCCAAUCCUGAUUCAGGGAGGUAGUGAAACAAAUAAUGAACUAGGAUUUAUCCUGGGGUCACAAUGGGCUUGAUUUGCAAACUUUAUUUAGCGAGGAACAAUUGGAGGGCAAGUCUGGUGCCAGCAGCCGCGGUAAUUCCAGCUCCAAUAGUGUAUAUUAAUGUUCCUGCAGUUAUUCGAUGCUCGUAGUUGGAUUUCUGGAGGCUGAGAUCGGAGGGUAGCCAAGGUUACCGCUGAACUCUUCCUUCAUCCACCUGUUAACGUUGUCCGGGAUUCGUUUCUCGGCUUCGGGCUCAGGCAUAUACUUUUACCCUUUUUCUAUAUUUAUUGUUUUGAGUAAAUUAUAGUGUUUCAGGCAGGCGUGCGCCGGAAUACUUUAGCAUGGAAUAAUCGAAUUGGACCGUGUAUUCUUAUUGAAUUCUUCCUUAUUGUUGGUUCAAGGACACGGAAAUGGUUAAUAGGGAUAGUGUUUUUAUUAUCAGGGGAGGCAUUAGUAUUUAAUUUCCAGAGGUGAAAUUCUUUGAAAUAUUAAAGACUAACUUAUGCGAAAGCAUUUAUUAUUGCCAAUAAUGUUUUCAUUAAUCAUUGAACGAAAGUUAGGGGAUCAAAGACGAUCAGAUACCGUCCUAGUCUUAACCAUAAACGUUGCCGACUAGGGAUCGGAGGGCGUGCACAUUCCGCCUUCGGCACCUUACGAGAAAUCAAAGUCUUUUGGGUUCUGGGGGUAGUAUGGUCGCAAGGCUGAAACUUAAAGGAAUUGACGGAAGGGCACCACCAGGAGUGGAGCUUGCGGCUCAAUUUGACUCAACACGGGAAAUCUUACCAGGUCCAGACAUAGCGAGGAUUGACAGAUUGAUAGCUCUUUCUUGAUUCUAUGGGUAUUUUAUAUAUAUUUUGGUGGUGCAUGGCCGUUCUUAGUUGGUGGAGUGAUUUGUCUGGUUAAUUCCGUUAAACGAACGAGACCUCAGCCUGCUAAAUAGUUACCUGUCUUUUCAUCUUUUAUAAUUACGAGACUUGCUAACUUCUUAGAGGGACGUUGUGUGCAACCACAAGGAAGUUGAGGCAAUAACAGGUCUGUGAUGCCCUUAGAUGUCCUGGGCCGCACGCGUGCUACGCUGAUAC